GACCUGCUCCUGGUAUGACUACAUGCCUACU
This 31-nucleotide non-coding RNA is filed under the name Rattus norvegicus (Norway rat). The record is from RNAcentral. Lineage: Eukaryota; Metazoa; Chordata; Mammalia; Rodentia; Muridae.